GAAGUUCUCAAAUGAAGGAUUCACUUGCAUCACCUCUCGCUGGUAAACUUUUUGUUGUAAUAGGCGCUGGUGGUGCGGGUAAGGCAUUAGCUUAUGGUGCAAAGGAAAAAGGUGCAAAGGUUGUUAUCGCAAAUCGUACUUAUGAGAGAGCCAGAGAGCUGGCGAACUUGGUUGGUGGAAUUGCUUUAACGCUUGCUGAGUUGCAGAACUUUCAUUCAGAGGAGAGGAUGAUUCUUGCAAAUACUACGGCUAUUGGAAUGCAUCCAAAUGUCCAUGAAACCCCCCUAUCUAAGCAAGCUCUUAGUUCUUACGAUGUGGUGUUUGAUGCGGUUUACACACCAAAAGUGACAAGACUUCUGCGUGAAGCCGAAGAGUCUGGAGCCACUAUCGUUAGCGGAACGGAGAUGUUCGUAAGGCAGGCGAUGGGCCAAUUCGAAUUAUUUACUGGCUUGCCUGCCCCUGAAAGCCUGAUGCGUGAAAUUCUCACGAGAAACACAUAAAAUGUACACGUCGAACACUCUUGAUGUGAUCUAUAUAAUAUGGAGAGAUUGCGGGCUAACACCCUUUUUGGUAUCCGGUAUCAGCGAUUAAUGUGGAAGUUUGGUAUGACAUGCUCAUGGUGUCGAAUAAACUACUGGAGAUUAUUUAUGCGAAGUUUGUGAUAAUUAGUUGAGCCAUCUUGACGGGU
RNAcentral lists this unclassified non-coding RNA (688 nucleotides) under Hevea brasiliensis (rubber tree). The record is from RNAcentral. Lineage: Eukaryota; Viridiplantae; Streptophyta; Magnoliopsida; Malpighiales; Euphorbiaceae.